Molecule: transfer RNA, 72 nt
Filed under: Reclinomonas americana
Lineage: Eukaryota; Jakobea; Jakobida; Histionidae
Description: tRNA-Phe
Rfam family: tRNA
About the family: Transfer RNA (tRNA) molecules are approximately 80 nucleotides in length. Their secondary structure includes four short double-helical elements and three loops (D, anti-codon, and T loops).
Source: RNAcentral
GUUCGGGUAGCUCAGUGGUAGAGCAGAAGACUGAAAAUCUUUGUGUCACUGGUUCAAAUCCAGUCUCGGACA